Non-coding RNA from Equus caballus (horse), 5126 nucleotides. NCBI's taxonomy places the organism in Eukaryota, Metazoa, Chordata, Mammalia, Perissodactyla, Equidae. The record is from RefSeq and is a predicted model, not a curated record.
GGGAGGGGGCGGGUAGCCCAGCGGAGGAAGUACAGGGGAACUGUGGGAAUUCAUUGAAGGGGCAGCUCAUGAAACUUAAGAUAGGGUAGUCAGGAAGUGGUGACUAAGCUGAGACCUGAAAGAUGAGAAGGAGUUAGCCAGGGGAAGGCAGAGAAAACAGCAUGUGCCAAAGCCUUGACAUGAAAGGGGAACUAAAGCCUCUUCCCUUCUCCUGGCCCACAGAAGACAUCACUUCCUUGAAGACUUGGCUGACUGUGGGCCUCCUGGCAGCUCCUUCCUGGGGCCGAGGGCCAAAAUCCUGACAAGAUUAAGAAGAGGCUUUGGGACUGGGCCAUGCCGGGAAAACAGGAAAGAUGACGAAUCAAACUCCCCUCUUUCUGGGGGAUGUUUAUUCCAGUGUUCCCUCAGCUGAGUUUUCUGGAUACACAGUAACCCUUGACUUUUCAUCCUGUGCCCAGCCUCUGGCCCCACGGCAACUAGGACACCCCUUAAUCCUAGAGCUCUCAGGACGGGCUUGCUCCCAUGUCUGCUUGGCUAACUGCACCGAACUCCUGGAAAGCAGGAAGAGCACAGAUAUAUCUUAACUGAGUGUGUACCUCGUUCCAUGGGAGAAACCGUCCUCUCAUACAAGCCUCUCCAGCUCCCCAGGGCUUCUGACAACAUGUGGGAGUAGGAUUUUAAAGGAAGACAAUUUUCAGGAGUUUCCCGACCAACGAGCAAGCGAUUGCUUUUUGCAAGCUAGUAUGAACUUUAAAUUAUUUCCAGACUGCAUUUUCCUCUCUGAUUGCAGAAGCAACUUGUGCUCAUUGUGAACUGUUCAAAUGUUACAUAAAGACAGAAAGUGGAGAGUUAAGGUCCUAACUAAUCCUGCUUUGAAAGAGGUGCCCACUGUUUAUCUGAGGCAUGUCCUUCCAGACUUUUCCUGUGCCUAUACUUAAUUCUUGAGCUCUGCUGUGGGCCCUUCUCUAUGUUAGACACUGCAGGGGUGGGACACAGAAUUUCACGGAACACUUAAUCAGCAGUUAAAGCCACCAUUGUACUGAUGACUCAUUCGCUCAGCAUGCACUUAACAUUCAGGUCUCUGGGACCCAGAAAUGAUGAAUCAAGGUCCUGUGUGGCUUUUGAGGGAGACCCGAGAUUGAAUCAGCGAGGAGACCCUCUGGUGUACUUGCCGCCUGAUUACGUGCAUGUCAGCCAAGCCUCAGUGAGAGGGCAGAAUGGUGAUGUGGCCCCCUGCCCAGGGAAUAGGUUUUUCCAACUUCAUUCACUGUGUGUAGGGAACUGAGUAGAAGGUGCUAGAAAGACUGGGCUUGCCACAGGUGGUUUCUGUGCUAUAGGGCUCGUUGCUUCCCUUCCCUGAGCCUCAGGUUCCUCAUUUGAAGAGUGAAGAGAAUCUUCUUGCCUUGAAAGGCACAUUCUCCCAUUCAUUAAUUCCUUAAUUCACUCACUUAUAAAGGACGGUAUUUCCUAAGACUGUGGAGAGUUUACUCUUUAAACAUGGCCAUCUAGGAACGGAAGAGUUGAGUCCUGUGGUAGAUUAUAUUAUUUUUCAGUAAAUAUUUAGUUGCCCCAGCCCUCCUCACCAUGGCAGGAAUAUACUUCCUCAUUCUGUUGAUACUAGACUUAGCCACGUGACUUGCUUUGGCCAAAAGAAUAUGUGUGGAAGUGACAGAGGCCAGCUCCAAGACACUGAGUGUUUCCAUUCACUCUUCUUGAACAACUGUCCUUGGCCAUGAAAACCAUAGUCCCAGAUAGUGGGGGCUUCUUCAGCCUGGACUCAGAAUGAGAAGACACAUGAGGCUGCCUUGUACUCAACCUGCAGCCUGCAGCUCAGCUCAGCCUACACCAGGAGAGCCCUGAUGAACCCCAGUCAACCCACAGCUCCCUAGGUGAGAAAUGAACAUCUACUGUUGCAAGCACUGAGUUUCUGGAAAUUGUUUUCCAUGUAGCAUUGCUGCAGCAAACUCUGACCAGUGUGGAUCCCUAGCGAACUCCUAUGCUGACUUUAGCUUGGGUCUGCGGAAGGAUUCUCUGAGUAGGCGAUAUUUGUCCUGAGAUCUGAAUGUUAAGAAGGAUUUGGUUAUGUGGCCAUCUUGAGGGAAGAGUUCUGGGCAAAGGCAACAGCAAUGCCGUGGUCCUGAGGCUGGAGGAAACCUGGCCUGUUCAGGAAUAGAAAUAAAGCCAGUGGGUGGGCUGGUCUACCUGGUAAGGGAGGGGACAGAGGUCUGAGCUCCAAACCCCUAAGUUCAAUGGGGUGCUUCACAUUUCCACUUGGACAUUCCCCAGACACUUUAGACUCAAAACAUCAGAUCCAAAGCUGAACUUGUGGUCUUCUCCCAAACCUGCCUUCCUUUUUCAUUUCCCCAUCUCAGUCGAUGACAGCACCACCUACUUACUCUGUCACCCAUGCCACAAGGCUCCUCCUUAACUCCUCCCUCUCCCUCAACCCCCACAUUCAAUCUAUCUUCAAGUCCUGCCAGUUCCACUCCACUCAUUCUCUCAUAUUUGUCCACUUCUCUCCACUUCCACUGAGACCACCUGGGUUGAAGGCACUAUCAUCUCUUGCUUGGACGACAGCAUUAGCUAGCCCCCCAGCUUCCCUGCCAGCAUUCUUAGCCCCUCUCCAAUCAGUCCUCCGCAUGGCAGCCAGUGGUCUUGUUUAAAAACAAAUCAUCUCCCAAUAAGUGAAUAGAUAAACAAACUGUAGUACCUCCACACAAUGCAAUAUUAUUCGGCAGUAAAAAGAAAUGAGCUAAGUUCUGGAGAUGGAUGGUGGUGAUUGUUGCACAAUAAUGCAAAUACGCUUAGUUUCAGUGAACUGUACACUUAGAGAUGGUUAAAAUGGUAAAUCUUAUUUUGUGUAUUUUAACACACACACACAAACACAUAUACAAAGGAAUGAGCUCUCAAGCCACGGAAGAACUUGAUAUGCAUAUCGCUAAGUGGAAGAAAUCAGUCUGAAGAGGCUAUGUACUACAUGAUUCCAACUUCAUGACAUUCUGGAAAAGGCAAAACCAUAGGAGGCGGUGAAAAGACAGUGGGUGCCAGCAGUGAAGGGGUGCAGGAGACGGAUGAAUAGAUGAAGCACAGGGUGUUUUUAGGGCAGUGAAACUAGUCUGUAUGACACUGUAAUGGUGAACUCAUGUUGUUACACACUUGUCAAAACCCAGCGGACUGUACAACACACAGAGUGAACCCUAAUGUAAACUGUGGACUUUAGUCAAUAAAAAUCCCCUACAAAAACAACAACAAAAACCCAAAUCUAGUUUCAUGACUCCUCUGUUUAGACCUUUCAAUGCCAGGCCCCCUAACCUGGGCAGGAGGGUUUGUCCUUCCUUCUUCUCCUGACUUAGCCCUAGUCAUUCUUUAAGGGCUCAGCUGAAAUGCCACCUUUUCGGAGAAAACUUCCCUCAUUCCCCAAACUCGAUCAGGCCCACCUGCUUUUAUUUUCCCCUUAGAGUCUGUUCUUCAACUCUGCAGCUUUUGUGCAUUUGUAAUUAGAUACUUAAUUGUUUGUAUUUAUUUGCAUAAUAGCUGUCUUUAAGGCAAAUGUUUAUUUGGAUAAUGGCUGUCUAUUGGACUUAGCCACACCCACCCCAUCUCUCUAGCCACUUUCCCUGAAACUGAUCACUUCUUUCCUGAAGCGCUUUCCGAAUUUGAGCAAUGCCAGAGCUCUAACCAUUUAUUUUGCUAAGAUUUUUUUUUAGUGAAAAAUUGCAAAUAGCCUAUAAUGUCCAAAAUAAGCCCCACAAAGGCAGAAUCAUGUCUGUCUUCUUCACCAUCUUGUCUCUAGCACUUAGCUAGUGCCUGGUACCUAACAGAGCUCACUAAAUGUGUGGUUGGACAGAGUUUGAAAUAAAAGGUCACAUUUUGUAAGAUUCCAUUUAUAUGAAAUAUCCAAAAUAGGUAAAUCUAUAGAGACAGAAAGCAGAUAGGUGGUUAUCAGGGGCUGGGAGAGGACAGAAUGAGGAGCAACUGCUUAAUGAGUAUGGGGUUUCCUUUUGGGGGUUGAAAAUGUUUUGGAACUUGACAAAAGUGGGGGUUGUACAACGUUGUGAAUGUACUAAUUGCCACUGAACUGCAUAUUUCUAAAUGGUUCAUUUUAUCUUAUGUGAACUUCACCUCAAUUUUAAAAAAUUGCUUGAAAUAUUAACCAAUGUAUUGCUUUUUCUGAACAAAGUCUUUUCAUCACCUUUGUUAGGUUCAGACUAGUACCUUUGGCCUCAGAGGUGGUUUUUAUAGCAGAAAUGCAGGAAGAAUAAUAAGUUAAUGUUAGCUUUUUUCCUUAAAACUUUUUAUGCUAGAAAAUUUUGAGUAUAUAAAAAGUAGAGAAAAUAAUAUAAUGAACCUCCACAUACUCAUCACCCAGCUUCAACAGUUGUCAACUCAUGGAUAAAUUUAUUAUAUGCCCAUCUACCUCUCUCCUCUAUUGAAUUAUUUUGAUGCAAAUAUCAGACAUCAUAUGAUUUCAUGCAUAAACAUUUCCUUAUGUCUCUCUAAAAAAUAAGAACUUUAAACACGUAACCACAAUACCAUUAUCACGCCUAAAAAUCAACAACAAAUUCUUAAGAUUAUCAAACGUCCAGUGUUCAAAUAUACCCAAUUGUUGCAUAAUUUUAAAACAUGUGAUGUGUUUGUUUGAAUCAAGAUCCAAACAAGGUCCACAUAGUCCAUCGACUGAUAUGUCUCAAGCUUUUUUAAAUCUGUAGGUUUUCCCUCUCUCUCUUUUUGAAAGUGCCGAAGUGGAAUAGACAGGACUCCCUUCCUCUGUCUUCAAUUUAUUUAUUGAAGAAAUGAGGUAUUUGUUUUGUAGAGUUUCCUGCAUUCUGGAUUUUGCUGAUUGCAUCCCUGUGGUGUCAUUUAACAUGUUCCCUUGACCCCUUUAUUUCACGUGAUUAAUAUCUUGAUAACGUCAGGUUAGAUGUUUUUUGGCAAGAAUACUUCACAGGUGAUGUUGCGUACCUCUACCAGGAGGCACAUCAUGCAUAUUUCUCUCUCUUUCUGUGAAAUUCCUAGUUAUUGAUGAUCAUGACUUAAAUCCAUUGUUGUGUUGAAGGUUGCGAAAUACAAAAUGCAAAAUUCUAAUUCUUAAAAAUUUUUUUCCUUUAUUACCAGAAACACUUCUA